Molecule: ribosomal RNA, 418 nt
Filed under: uncultured bacterium
Lineage: Bacteria
Description: bacterial SSU rRNA
Rfam family: Bacterial small subunit ribosomal RNA
Source: RNAcentral
UGGGGAAUAUUGCACAAUGGGCGAAAGCCUGAUGCAGCAACGCCGCGUGAAGGAAGAAGGGUUUCGGCUCGUAAACUUCUAUCAACAGGGACGAAGGAAGUGACGGUACCUGAAUAAGAAGCCCCGGCUAACUAUGUGCCAGCAGCCGCGGUAAUACGUAGGGGGCAAGCGUUAUCCGGAAUUACUGGGUGUAAAGGGUGAGUAGGCGGCAUGGUAAGCCAGAUGUGAAAGCCUUGGGCUUAACCCGAGGAUUGCAUUUGGAACUAUCAAGCUAGAGUACAGGAGAGGAAAGCGGAAUUCCUAGUGUAGCGGUGAAAUGCGUAGAUAUUAGGAAGAACACCAGUGGCGAAGGCGGCUUUCUGGACUGAAACUGACGCUGAGGCACGAAAGCGUGGGGAGCGAACAGGAUUAGAUACCC